This is a long non-coding RNA of Archocentrus centrarchus (flier cichlid), 1863 nucleotides long. RefSeq lists it as uncharacterized. NCBI's taxonomy places the organism in Eukaryota, Metazoa, Chordata, Actinopteri, Cichliformes, Cichlidae. The transcript is spliced from 3 exons. The record is from RefSeq and is a predicted model, not a curated record.
ACAGAAUUCAUCACAGUACAGAAAUAGCAUUAGUGAAAGUUACAAAUGAUCUUCUUACAGCCUCUGACAGUGGACACUAUAUAAAUAAAAUUGAAUUGAAUUGAACUGAAUCGCUGUGGAUUCAUCAUUAUCUCUUUGUUUCCCAGGGCUGAGAAUAUUUUCCUGCAGUGCUUGCAGAAGUUUCCAGAGUUUGAGGAAAGUCUUUGUCAGACUUUCCAUCAGCGCUACGCUGACUUUCAUCUCUAUCACAAAAAAAAUGAAGUUGAAGCCAUCGCCCACUACACCAAGGGGCUGCUGGUAGCACUAAAAACAGAAGCGAGGAGACUGUGCAGUAAGAGACUGAAGCAAAUCGCUGAGAGACGUCUGUCAAAGAACCGGGAUGAUGGCGAGGCUCACGCUUUGCUGGGUCAGGUGGCCAAAGCUGAGGGCAACAAGAAGAAAGCUGCAGAGUUUUAUGAGAAAGCUCUGGACUGUGACGUGGACAAUGCAGAGUACCUGUCUGCGCUGUGUGAGCUGCGCAUGGAGCUGCAGUGACGAGAACAUCAACCUUUGAGACUUUUAUGACUUUUAAGACUUAUAUUCAUCACUGUAGCACUUGUGAUUUUAUCAGAAAAAUUAUUAUUUAGUUAGAACAGAAAUUCUGCAGGGUCAGGGUUAAGAAAACUUUAGUGAACACUAGUGAUGUGUGCUUCUGUGUCGAGGCUUCGAAGCAUGUAUCGAGGAAUUGAGGGAGACUUUUGUGAAGCGCGUAUCGAGGCUUCUGUUGGUGACGUUCGAAGCCUCGCAAGCCGGCCGUACCACAUGACUGAUUCAGGAAAUGAUUUGCGGGUUCGGCGUGCGAUUCGAAAUCUGAGGGGCAGCGAAACGCGAUGGAUCCCCCCUCACAGUGUGUGGUAUUGGGGACUAUUGCAUGUUGGUUUGCAGUCUGUUUGAGCUGUUUCUUUUUUGGUGAUGGAACCAGCCAGAAAGAGGAGAUUUUCCCUGUCUGGGAACAUUUUGAGCUGAUCUCUCCUGAUAAGGUGUGCGCAUAGUAAUAAAUUAUGACCCCAGCUUCCCCUGUGAAAGGGUAUUUUCUAAAGCGGGCAAAGUCAUUUCCAACAAAAGAAACCAGCUGAAGCCCAGCACUGUGGCAAAGCUGUUAUUUCUAAAUAAAAGCAAAUAAAUAACACAGUGGUGAGCACAGUUACAAACCAAGUAACACAAUCCCAUUCACAUCACAACUCUCCCCAAUUUAUUUCCACUUUCCCUCUUGACCCCAGCAUUGUAUCAUAAAGACAGACACCAUAUUAGUUAGUUCAGUAUUUAUUUAUUAGCAUCACAAAAAUCAUUUAUUCUGUUCAGAGCUUCACGCACCAAAGCCUUGGUGUAAUUAUAAUCAGUCUGCCUGUUUUACAUUGACUGCCCUCUUGAUGGCGCAGUAGAGUGUUUUAUUUAGAGUUUUAUUCUACUUAGCAACACGGUGCAGUGACAUGUAGCCACCCUCCUUAGACAGAGAUGUACACGUUUUGGCAAAACCUUCAAGGAUAAGAUAAAUGUAUUUUUCUCGGAGACCGGGAAGGCCAUAAAUAAAAUAAACAUAUCUCCCAAAGACCGUGAAGUCAACCUGGAGUCCAUUGGUCCACUAUCCGUCUGCUCUCUAUCUAAUUUAAUUAUUUAUUUAAUUGCCUAUUAUUUGCUUCAGCCACUACUUAUUGAUUUCUUUAUAUAACGCUUUAUACAACACGUUUGCAUUUACCCAUUCUGCCUGAUUGUUGGGUUCUCUCUGGAUUAUUGUCCGGUCUUUACCUUUACCUUACAAUAUAAAGCACCUCGAGGCGACUGUUGCUGUGAUUUGGUGCCAUAUUAAUAAAAUUGAAUUGAACU